UCACGGGGAUCAAGCCCUCGUUGGUC
This 26-nucleotide non-coding RNA is filed under the name Homo sapiens (human). Lineage: Eukaryota; Metazoa; Chordata; Mammalia; Primates; Hominidae. The record is from RNAcentral.